Molecule: small RNA, 27 nt
Filed under: Bombyx mori (domestic silkworm)
Lineage: Eukaryota; Metazoa; Arthropoda; Insecta; Lepidoptera; Bombycidae
Description: ovarian small RNA-30110
Source: RNAcentral
UCUUCAGGACAGGUUUUGGUGAGUGAU